AUAUUGGACAAUGGGCGAAAGCCUGAUCCAGCCAUGCCGCGUGUGUGAAGAAGGUCUUCGGAUUGUAAAGCACUUUAAGUUGGGAGGAAGGGUUGUAGAUUAAUACUCUGCAAUUUUGACGUUACCGACAGAAUAAGCACCGGCUAACUCUGUGCCAGCAGCCGCGGUAAUACAGAGGGUGCAAGCGUUAAUCGGAAUUACUGGGCGUAAAGCGCGCGUAGGUGGUUCGUUAAGUUGGAUGUGAAAUCCCCGGGCUCAACCUGGGAACUGCAUUCAAAACUGUCGAGCUAGAGUAUGGUAGAGGGUGGUGGAAUUUCCUGUGUAGCGGUGAAAUGCGUAUAUAUAGGAAGGAACACCAGUGGCGAAGGCGACCACCUGGACUGAUACUGACACUGACGUGCGAAAGCGUGGGGAGCAAACAGGAUUAGAUACCCUGGUAGUCCACGCCGUAAACGAUGUCAACUAGCCGUUGGGAGCCUUGAGCUCUUAGUGGCGCAGCUAACGCAUUAAGUUGACCGCCUGGCGAGUACGGUCGCAAGGUUAAAACUCAAAUGAAUUGACGGGGGCCCGCACAAGCGGUGGAGCAUGUGGUUUAAUUCAAAGCAACGCGAAUAACCUUACCAGGCCUUGACAUCCAAUGAACUUUCCAGAGAUAGAUUGGUGCCUUCCUAACAUUGAGACAGGUGCUGCAUGNNUGUCGUCAGCUCGUGUCGUGAGAUGUUGGGUUAAGUCCCGUANAGAGCGCANCCCUUGUCCUUAGUUACCAGUACGUAAUGUUGGGCACUCUAAGAGAGACUGCNGGUGACAAACCUGANUAANGNGGGGAUGACGUCAAGGCAUCAUGGUCCUUACUGCUGCUCUACNCACAUGCUACAUGUCNUACAUACGGUUGCCAUGC
This 898-nucleotide ribosomal RNA is filed under the name Pseudomonas sp. LL1. RNAcentral's name for it is "bacterial SSU rRNA". It matches the Rfam family "Bacterial small subunit ribosomal RNA", at positions 361 to 1255 of the family's 1533-position model. The record is from RNAcentral. Lineage: Bacteria; Pseudomonadati; Pseudomonadota; Gammaproteobacteria; Pseudomonadales; Pseudomonadaceae.